CCCUUAGAGUUUGAUCCUGGCUCAGGACGAACGCUGGCGGCAUGCCUAACACAUGCAAGUCGAACGGAGAUUACUUCGGUAAUCUUAGUGGCGAACGGGUGAGUAACGCGUGGGCAACCUGCCCUCUAGAUGGGGACAACAUCCCGAAAGGGGUGCUAAUACCGAAUGUGACAGCAAUCUCGCAUGAGGAUGCUGUGAAAGAUGGCCUCUAUUUAUAAGCUAUCGCUAGAGGAUGGGCCUGCGUCUGAUUAGCUAGUUGGUGGGGUAACGGCCUACCAAGGCGAUGAUCAGUAGCCGGUCUGAGAGGAUGAACGGCCACAUUGGGACUGAGACACGGCCCAGACUCCUACGGGAGGCAGCAGUGGGGAAUCUUCCGCAAUGGGCGAAAGCCUGACGGAGCAAUGCCGCGUGAGUGAUGAAGGAAUUCGUUCCGUAAAGCUCUUUUGUUUAUGACGAAUGUGCAAGUUGUGAAUAAUGA
RNAcentral lists this ribosomal RNA (478 nucleotides) under uncultured bacterium. RNAcentral describes it as "bacterial SSU rRNA". It matches the Rfam family "Bacterial small subunit ribosomal RNA", at positions 1 to 472 of the family's 1533-position model. The record is from RNAcentral.